GAAAUGCGAUAAGUAAUGUGAAUUGCAGAAUUCCGUGAAUCAUCGAAUCUUUGAACGCAUAUUGCGCCCUCUGGCAUUCCGGGGGGGAUGCCUGUCCGAGCGUCAUUACGCACCCUCAAGCCCGGCUUGUGUGAUGGGCCCCGGCGUCUCGUUCGCGAGACGGGCCCGAAAGGCAGCGGCGGCGUCGACCCGAUGAGCCCGAGCGUAUGGGGACUUCUGUCACACGUUCGCGGUGCGGACCGGCGCCUGCUUGACUUUUCUGAUUAUCCAGGUUGACCUCGGAUCAGGUAGGGAUACCCGCUGAACUUAAGC
RNAcentral lists this unclassified non-coding RNA (312 nucleotides) under plant metagenome. RNAcentral describes it as "partial contains 5.8S ribosomal RNA, internal transcribed spacer 2, and large subunit ribosomal RNA". The stretch from base 1 to 105 matches the Rfam family "5.8S ribosomal RNA", at positions 50 to 154 of the family's 154-position model. The record is from RNAcentral.